GAAUGGCUCAGGAUGAACGCUAGCUACAGGCUUAACACAUGCAAGUCGAGGGGCAUCAUGCUUAUAGCAAUAUAAGUGAUGGCGACCGGCGCACGGGUGAGUAACACGUAUCCAACCUGCCGAUAACUCGGGGAUAGCCUUUCUAAAGAAAGAUUAAUACCCGAUGGCAUAAUAGAACCGCAUGGUUUGAUUAUUAAAGAAUUUCGGUUAUCGAUGGGGAUGCGUUCCAUUAGGCAGUUGGG
This 242-nucleotide ribosomal RNA is filed under the name uncultured bacterium. RNAcentral describes it as "partial 16S ribosomal RNA". It matches the Rfam family "Bacterial small subunit ribosomal RNA", at positions 17 to 253 of the family's 1533-position model. The record is from RNAcentral.